This 200-nucleotide ribosomal RNA is filed under the name uncultured prokaryote. RNAcentral describes it as "partial 16S ribosomal RNA". It matches the Rfam family "Bacterial small subunit ribosomal RNA", at positions 525 to 724 of the family's 1533-position model. The record is from RNAcentral.
ACGAGUGCUUCAAGCGUUGUCCGGAAUCAUUGGGCGUAAAGGGUGUGUAGGCGGUUAUGUUAGUCUUCCGUAAAAUUCUUCGGCUCAACCGGGGGCUCGCGGGGGAAACGGCAUAACUUGAGGAUGGAAGGGGUCUCUGGAACUCAUGGUGUAGCGGUGAAAUGCGUUGAUAUCAUGGGGAACACCGAAAGCGAAGGCAA